CGGGGUGAGUAACGCGUGGGCAACCUGCCCCGCACUGGGGGACAACAGCCGGAAACGGCUGCUAAUACCGCAUAUGCGCACAGCUUUGCAUGAAGCAGUGUGGAAAACUCCGGUGGUGCGGGAUGGGCCCGCGUCUGAUUAGCUGGUUGGCGGGGCAACGGCCCACCAAGGCGACGAUCAGUAGCCGGCCUGAGAGGGUGGACGGCCACAUUGGGACUGAGACACGGCCCAGACUCCUACGGAAGGCAGCAG
RNAcentral lists this ribosomal RNA (252 nucleotides) under uncultured bacterium. RNAcentral's name for it is "partial 16S ribosomal RNA". It matches the Rfam family "Bacterial small subunit ribosomal RNA", at positions 100 to 354 of the family's 1533-position model. The record is from RNAcentral.